AGCGAACGCUGGCGGCAGGCUUAACACAUGCAAGUCGAGCGGGCACUUUCGGGUGUCAGCGGCGGACGGGUGAGUAACGCGUGGGAACGUGCCCUCUGGUUCGGAAUAACUCAGGGAAACUUGAGCUAAUACCGGAUACGCCCUUUUGGGGAAAGGCUUGCUGCCGGAGGAUCGGCCCGCGUCUGAUUAGCUAGUUGGUGAGGUAACGGCUCACCAAGGCGACGAUCAGUAGCUGGUCUGAGAGGAUGACCAGCCACACUGGGACUGAGACACGGCCCAGGCUCCUACGGGAGGCAGCAGUGGGGAAUAUUGGACAAUGGGCGCAAGCCUGAUCCAGCCAUGCCGCGUGAGUGAUGAAGGCCUUAGGGUUGUAAAGCUCUUUUAUCCGGGACGAUAAUGACGGUACCGGAGGAAUAAGCCCCGGCUAACUUCGUG
Molecule: ribosomal RNA, 435 nt
Filed under: uncultured bacterium
Lineage: Bacteria
Description: partial 16S ribosomal RNA
Rfam family: Bacterial small subunit ribosomal RNA
Source: RNAcentral